GACGAACGCUGGCGGCGUGCCUAAUACAUGCAAGUAGAACGCUGAAGAGAGGAGCUUGCUCUUCUUGGAUGAGUUGCGAACGGGUGAGUAACGCGUAGGUAACCUGCCUUGUAGCGGGGGAUAACUAUUGGAAACGAUAGCUAAUACCGCAUAACAAUGGAUGACACAUGUCAUUUAUUUGAAAGGGGCAAUUGCUCCACUACAAGAUGGACCUGCGUUGUAUUAGCUAGUAGGUGAGGUAACGGCUCACCUAGGCGACGAUACAUAGCCGACCUGAGAGGGUGAUCGGCCACACUGGGACUGAGACACGGCCCAGACUCCUACGGGAGGAAGCAGUAGGGAAUCUUCGGCAAUGGGGGCAACCCUGACCGAGCAACGCCGCGUGAGUGAAGAAGGGUGUCGGAUCGGAAAGCUCGGUUGUAAGUCAAGAACGAGUGUGAGAGUGGAAAGUUCACACUGUGACGGUAGCUUACCAGAAAGGGACGGCUAACUACGUG
This 497-nucleotide ribosomal RNA is filed under the name uncultured bacterium. RNAcentral's name for it is "partial 16S ribosomal RNA". It matches the Rfam family "Bacterial small subunit ribosomal RNA", at positions 28 to 507 of the family's 1533-position model. The record is from RNAcentral.